This 429-nucleotide ribosomal RNA is filed under the name uncultured Glomeromycotina. Its description in RNAcentral is "SSU rRNA". It matches the Rfam family "Eukaryotic small subunit ribosomal RNA", at positions 569 to 1005 of the family's 1831-position model. Lineage: Eukaryota; Fungi; Glomeromycota. The record is from RNAcentral.
AGCAGCCGCGGUAAUUCCAGCUCCGAUAGCGUAUAUUAAAGUUGUUGCAGUUAAAAAGCUCGUAGUUGAAUUUCGGGAUCAAUACGUCGGUCGUGCUUCGGUACGUACUGGCGUCAUUGAUUUCUCCCUUCUGACGAACCAUGAUGUCAUUAACUUGGUGUCAUGGGAAAUCAGGACUGUUACUUUGAAAAAUUAGAGUGUUUAAAGCAGGCUCACGCUUGAAUACAUUAGCAUGGAAUAAUGAAAUAGGACGUUCGAUCCUAUUUUGUUGGUUUUAGGAUCAACGUAAUGAUUAAUAGGGAUAGUUGGGGGCAUUAGUAUUCAAUUGUCAGAGGUGAAAUUCUUGGAUUUAUUGAAGACUAACUACUGCGAAAGCAUUUGCCAAGGAUGUUUUCAUUAAUCAAGAACGAAAGUUAGGGGAUCGAAGAC